RNAcentral lists this ribosomal RNA (3242 nucleotides) under Triticum aestivum (bread wheat). RNAcentral describes it as "partial small subunit ribosomal RNA". The record is from RNAcentral. Lineage: Eukaryota; Viridiplantae; Streptophyta; Magnoliopsida; Poales; Poaceae.
AAAAGAAUCAAAUCUUUUCUCUCCACCACGCCUCUCUCCGCCGAUUCCUCUCUCUCACACACCACAACGUGCCGCCGCCACCUCUGAUUCGGGGCAACUCCGGCGCACUCCCACACCGUUGUUUACCGGCCUGCCCCCCUAAUCCCCUCAAUGUUCUGCACCGAUCCUCCGCCGCGGCAACGUUCUCCGUGCCUCAGCACGUGCCCCUGCAACAACCCUCUUCGGCACAGGUCGCCGGCGUGGCUCCGCAGCUACGGUAUGUCAGCCGACUACCCCUGCAACUCAUCACAUCCGCCAUUAACGCCCCCAUAUCCUACGUCCUCUCUGUUUUCUCUCUCCGUUCCCAUCUCUUAUAGGCACACUCUGGAACAAAUAUGCAACCUAACCCUAGAUUGGUGACUGCCUUGUCCGAUUAUGUGAGCAUCUAGCCCGGUCCGAUGGUAACCAACAGAUUUGUGAUGUUCGUGUUGGUAGUCUUCCAACAGCGGCCAGUCGGAGAACUAGGAUCCUGACCGAGGAGGACCUGGUGGAUCUUAACGCUGCCUCAACAUUAGCUUCAGGCAUACCAUGUUAUUUCCAAGCUCUAUGAAUCUCAGGCAUGUCAUGACGUGGAGGUUAGUAGCAUACUUACUUGUCCCCCGGUAAGAGUUGUGUCCACUGUAUCUAAUUAUUUGUUCCACCAGUAUAUAACGUUAUGUGAUUCAGUUAGUUUCUCAGGCUCUACAUAUUUGCAGUAAGCGUGAUUGUGUUAUGGAUUGUGACUCUGUGCCUUUAAUAUUCGUAUCCAAUUUUGCUUUUGUUGAUGCAACUUCUAUGUGUAUCUAUUAUGAAAUUGUCCUACAGAUCAGUUUUCAAACUAUUGACAAUAGAUGUGUGUAUAUAAGCCGAUUGUGUUAAAAUAUUAAUCUUGCUAUGGCUGAUUGUGUGAGGGAUUAACGUGCUUUAGUGCAGUUUGAUUUCAAUUUCUCAGAGCUUCAGGGGCAGAUGGAUGUGUAAUGGUCAGUGUUUUGCUACACUCGUGGUCAAGGCCAACUCUCGGCGACGUCCUCCACCACCAGGAUCCCCUAAUGAUGGUCUGCAUAAUCCUUCUUUGGGUCUGUUCAGCCGUUUGCACAAUAAUAAUAACAGUAAUAAUAAUAUGAUUACCUUGGAGUAUUUGAUUGUAUUUUCUGUAGAGGUUUUGAUACAAAAGCCUGAUUUUCUGGUAGCUGUGGUUCAUUCCAUACUUUAGAUCACAUAGAAGACUAGCAUUUCAUCCCAAUGAUUGACCAACUAUAUUGAGUUAAGCAUAUCUGUUGGAAGUGCGCCCACAGGAUCGAUCACAUCAAAGUAGACAAAGAACACGCGCAUGAAAAACUGAUGGCCAAGGGCUCGUAUUGUGCCCUGUUUUUCUUUAUUUCUUCUGUUUUCUCCACGAUUACAAAACUCACGGCUGUACCCACGUAUAUAUAUAUACACAAGUGCCACCGACCAACUAGACCAAGUCCUACACAGACACCUAUCACUUUCCUAAUCUAAUUACACGGCGACCUUGAUCUUUUACUUAAACCUUAAGUCCUAAACUGACUCGUAAACGUACUGGGCCAUGCCAUGCAAAAUCAACUCCAACACGUACUCUUAAACGUACGGCAGCUAGCUUUUGCAAAAUUUGCACCACAUGAAAACUAACUUGAACUCAUUAAACUAACUCAAGAUUAUUUCUAACAAUAUCUUCAUAAAGCAUAGGUUUUUUUUACUACUGUUUAGUUUUCCCAUUUGUUUCAUAUACAUCCAUGAUUCAUAUGAUGUUCUACCAUGCACUGAAAAGUUAUUUAGACAUGGUAAUAUUAUGCUUUUCGCAAUCACCAGAAAUUAAAAAGAACUACAAGAGAUUUUUGUGUGAGCUUGAGUGCUUCAUGUCAUGACGUGGAAUUUUUUUUUGUAUAUGCUAUACAAGUCCUCCCAUUGGAUUCGAUAAAGAGUCCUCAUAUCACCAUCGGCACUGCAAUCUAUAUAAGUCCGAUCAAGUCUGUAAGUGGUUGACCAUUUAUUUUGUAUUAUUGGAAGAAAUAUACGUAGCAUUCUGUUUUGUUUACUUGGGAUAUCUUUAUGGCGCAAUUAAGUAAUAAUUAACGGAGAGUCUAAAACAUUAAUGGUCUACAUGACAGAUCUAGUAGCAAAUUUACAUUUCAAUUCGCUAUGACUUGUGUGCCAAUUUUUUAACUGAAUUGUAUGUCAAAAUUUUCAUUUUCAAACAACAACUGCUAACUGCUACUGCUACAGAAUUCUGUAUCAUAUUGUGGUUCGAUUAAGUUCAUAUAUAUCACUUGAUUCGUUUUAGUCGACUAUUAUUUGUUUCUUCUAUGUUGUUCCUGAUCUCAUAAUGCACGACAAACAACCUAGUUUUCUUUUGAGCCAUCUUCUUUCGCUAUUGUUUCUAUUCAUUUUGCGUACCUGAGUGCAAAAAACUUCAGAAUAAGCUAUUCAUUGCCAUCAUCACGUAUUUUAUUUUGUAAUUUUUUCUUGCAUUUGUUCACAAUUGGACGCAGACAUACAUUAUGACAACUUACGCAGAAGAAAAAGGAACCAUCACUCGCAAGCUAGGUAAAAUUUGUUCUUUUGCUUUCAAUGUGUUUCUUCAACGAGAAUGGUUUGGCUAUUGAGUUGUCAUAUAUAUUGUUUCUUUUGAAAUACUUAAACAUGGUAACUUAUCAGAUGGUGAUUGUUAGGUUGCACUACUUAUUUUUUCUAUCUGAUACAAUACAGAAUGGAAGCUAGAAAACAGCAAUUGUGUUUUGUGGCCUUUCAUAACACAAGCUGUGUGUGCAGCUGCAAGCCUGCAACUCUUUUGUUGUUCGAUCAAGGGAGAAGAACUGGGACAUACAUUUGUGGUGUCACCCAUCGAAAAUGUGGUAGGAGCUGGUGUUUGACGGUGCAGUGGGACGGCUGAGAGGAUUUUUUUAUGAGUAGUUUGGAGCUUGCAAGAGCAAAAUUGAUGGCGGUAGGUGCUGCAAGGUGGAUAUCGGAAGGUGGCGACGGACAAGGAGAGGACGCUACAUGUUGCUCAAUGGGGCUCCUCCUAGAUAGUUCCACAUUAUGUUCUUGAAUGUCAUUUUUAGGUUCAAUGUUCAAGACAUUAUGAUUUAGCAUAGUUGCGACAUUAAUUGUAAGGUUGAGAAUUGGGCUACUAGAUAGUUGUACAUUUUGUAAUGCUUGGAUUGUGUUCUUUGUAAUGCAACAUAGUCAAUUUAAUAUAUGAGACC